GAAGUAAAAGUCGUAACAAGGUCUCCGUUGGUGAACCAGCGGAGGGAUCAUUACCGAGUUUACAACUCCCAAACCCCUGUGAACAUACCAUUUGUUGCCUCGGCGGUGCCUGCUUCGGCAGCCCGCCAGAGGACCCAAACCCUUGAUUUUAUACAGUAUCUUCUGAGUAAAUGAUUAAAUAAAUCAAAACUUUCAACAACGGAUCUCUUGGUUCUGGCAUCGAUGAAGAACGCAGCGAAAUGCGAUAAGUAAUGUGAAUUGCAGAAUUCAGUGAAUCAUCGAAUCUUUGAACGCACAUUGCGCCCGCCAGUAUUCUGGCGGGCAUGCCUGUUCGAGCGUCAUUUCAACCCUCAAGCCCCCGGGCUUGGUGUUGGAGAUCGGCGUGCCCUCCGGGGCGCGCCGGCUCCCAAAUAUAGUGGCGGUCUCGCUGUAGCUUCCUCUGCGUAGUAGCACACCUCGCACUGGGAAACAGCGUGGCCACGCCGUUAAACCCCCCACUUCUGAAAGGUUGACCUCGGAUCAGGUAGGAAUACCCGCUGAACUUAAGCAUAUCAA
This 555-nucleotide ribosomal RNA is filed under the name Ilyonectria destructans. RNAcentral describes it as "eukaryotic LSU rRNA". The stretch from base 188 to 341 matches the Rfam family "5.8S ribosomal RNA". Lineage: Eukaryota; Fungi; Ascomycota; Sordariomycetes; Hypocreales; Nectriaceae. The record is from RNAcentral.